Molecule: long non-coding RNA, 1116 nt
Filed under: Ananas comosus (pineapple)
Lineage: Eukaryota; Viridiplantae; Streptophyta; Magnoliopsida; Poales; Bromeliaceae
Description: long non-coding RNA (ACOM_LNC022064)
Source: RNAcentral
UUUAAGAAGAAGCUUGUAAACCAGGCCAAAUGAUAGGUUAAAUACUUAACCUUGAUUAGUUAAUGAGAUGAAUCAAUCUUUUUAUUUCUCUUUAAUUAACAGUUGCGGACAUAUUUUUAAUGGCAAAAAAAUUAUUUCACUUAUAAAAUAGACAAUACUUUAACGGUAACAAACCAGAGGGACAUAUUUGAAAAUAUUAGAAUUUUUGCAAAAAUAAUAUAUAAAAGUUGAACUUUAUAUGGAUAUAUUUAUAAUUUACUAUGUCUGCAGGGACCUGUAUAAAAUUAAUCCAAAUCUAACAGUCAAAAUAACUUUGUCCACUGAGGUGUUGUAUUUAGAGAAAGUUUGUUCACAAAGUUGAUACUUACCGUCGUAAUAUGAUGGCAAAGUUACAAGCCAAUGCGCCUCAAAAUUAUAAUAUACUUAACAGUAACAGCAUGAUGUUAAGGAGCUAGGCUGGUCUACUAUCGGUCGCACGGAGGCCUCCGUGCUACCAAGUUGUUUUCGAUGAUGCGGCUUCCAAAUCGACGAUCGGCUUCGUCAGACUUAAUCUACACUAUUAAAAGUAUUUGGAAACUAAAUUUUGUAAUUUUUCGGCAUCAUUUGGCUAGUGAUCAAAAUGUCUCAAAAUUGACAAUUUUAAUGGUAGAUGUGAUACAUUUGCAAAUUUAACGGUGUAAAACAGUCUAAAUCUGAUAAAAUUUUUAUAGAAAAUUCUUUUUACUAUUUAGAAUAAGAUCAGUAUCUCUGAUCUUAAAUCAAGUCUUUUAUCAUUAUUUUUUAUAAAAUUUUUUAUUUUCAGCCAUUCAUUUUUAGACUACUCGUUUGAUAGGUAAAUGAUGCCGAAAAAUUAGGAAAUUUAGUUUCCAUAUACUUUUAAUAGUGUUGAUCAAGUCUAACGGAGCCAAUCGUCAAUUUGGAAGCCACAUCAUUGAAAACAAUUUUGUCACGCCCCGGAUUACACGUUCCCCAGGCACGCCGACAAAUCUGUCGUAUACAAAGAAAUUUUUUCUGUAUACAAAAUAAUAGCUGUACCUGUAAAACAUACAAUACUACAAAUAGUAGUAUAGAGCUGCCAGAAGAACUAGUAACUAAAAACAAACUGAGUUUCAUAUA